Pongo pygmaeus (Bornean orangutan) is the source of this 921-nucleotide long non-coding RNA. RefSeq lists it as uncharacterized. The record is from RefSeq and is a predicted model, not a curated record. NCBI's taxonomy places the organism in Eukaryota, Metazoa, Chordata, Mammalia, Primates, Hominidae. The transcript has 8 exons.
GCUUAGAGAACAGGAAGUGGGAGCCACAUACCCCGAGCUGGAGGCUUGAGCCUGUGGGACCUAGGCUCGCCUCACUGCGGUUGGUGGAGGUGACAGAGGUUGGAGCUUGGCCAGCAUGGUAGAAAGGUGGCAGGGUCGACUCUAGAUUCUAGAGGGCAACCUCUGUUUGCUCGUGCUGGAGCGUGGCAGGCGCGCAAUGUUUCCUUGGGAAUCCUGAGCACAGCACGUCUGGCUUUUACCACCCAGAUGCUUCGAGCUAGGAGAUGGAAGAGUCAUCUGUUGCACGCUGGAGGCUGGAGCCUGCAGAUGGCAUGGUUCUGUGGCUCGCCUCGCUGCAGUUGGUGGCAGAGACAGAGACUGCAACUUGACCGGAGUGGUGGAGAGAGUAUUGUCAUCUGCAUGAGCAAAUCUGGUUCAUCACAUUUUUGCAACAGGAAAAGGAAGGGAGGAUCAUGUGGAUAAUGUUUUAAGGCCAAGAUUCACAACCAAAACAAAGUCUUCAUUGACUUUUGCCUUCAAGAACCUGCAGUGUUGAGCCCUUUUUUAUUUCUGGUCGGUGUGCAGUGGCAUGAUCUUGACUCACUGCAACUUCCACCUCCUGGGUUCAAGCCAUUCUCUUCCCUCAGCCUCCUCAGUAGCUGGAUUACAGGUGUGUAUCUCAAGAGCACUCCAGAACAAAGAUUCUGCCUGCAAUCCUCCACUUCAAGUUUCUUUAUUUGUAGGCACAGCUGCAUAAAGAAACCAGAUGGCCCAACAGCACCAGAGCUUAUCCACCCCUGACCAGAUAUCAGAAGGAGAAUUUCCCUGGCUAAUACCUCCAGUACAAUGCUGAAUAGAGUGGUUAAAGUGGAAAUUCUUGUCUUCUCAAACUUUCAGGUAAAGAAGCACAAGUCUGUCGCCAUUAAGUAUGAUGGAUGUUAG